RNAcentral lists this ribosomal RNA (709 nucleotides) under Salmonella enterica subsp. enterica serovar Augustenborg. RNAcentral's name for it is "partial 23S ribosomal RNA". It matches the Rfam family "Bacterial large subunit ribosomal RNA", at positions 1 to 1190 of the family's 2925-position model. Lineage: Bacteria; Pseudomonadati; Pseudomonadota; Gammaproteobacteria; Enterobacterales; Enterobacteriaceae. The record is from RNAcentral.
CGAAGCGACGUCAAACCGAUAAAACAGCAGUGUAAAGUGAGCCGCAGGGCGCUUUGCGCGACAGCGCAAAGGCAGGCGGUUUCGCGUAGCGAAAGCGAAUGCUUUGGGGUGGGGUGACUGCGUACCUUUUGUAUAAUGGGUCAGCGACUUAUAUUCUGUAGCAAGGUUAACCGAACAGGGGAGCCGGAGGGAAACCGAGUCUUAACCGGGCGUUAAGUUGCAGGGUAUAGACCCGAAACCCGGUGAUCUAGCCAUGGGCAGGUUGAAGGUUGGGUAACACUAACUGGAGGACCGAACCGACUAAUGUUGAAAAAUUAGCGGAUGACCUGUGGCUGGGGGUGAAAGGCCAAUCAAACCGGGAGAUAGCUGGUUCUCCCCGAAAGCUAUUUAGGUAGCGCCUCGUGAAUUCAUCUCCGGGGGUAGAGCACUGUUUCGGCUAGGGGGCCAUCCCGGCUUACCAACCCGAUGCAAACUGCGAAUACCGGAGAAUGUUAUCACGGGAGACACACGGCGGGUGCUAACGUCCGUCGUGAAGAGGGAAACAACCCAGACCGCCAGCUAAGGUCCCAAAGUCAUGGUUAAGUGGGAAACGAUGUGGGAAGGCCCAGACAGCCAGGAUGUUGGCUUAGAAGCAGCCAUCAUUUAAAGAAAGCGUAAUAGCUCACUGGUCGAGUCGGCCUGCGCGGAAGAUGUAACGGGGCUAAACCAU